This is a long non-coding RNA of Amphibalanus amphitrite, 543 nucleotides long. RefSeq lists it as uncharacterized. The transcript has 2 exons. NCBI's taxonomy places the organism in Eukaryota, Metazoa, Arthropoda, Thecostraca, Balanomorpha, Balanidae. The record is from RefSeq and is a predicted model, not a curated record.
GUUUUUCCUUUCGGUUUUUUAUGUUUAUUUUUACUGGUUUGUUGUUUGUUAGUUGUUUGUUUUUAUUUUCGGCAUGAGGUUUGGUUAUUUUUGUGCUUAUGUUAUGCUAUCGAGGUAAGAAAGGGGUCGAUGAGUAAUGGGUCGGCAAAUGCCUGUAUUAUAGGUUCUUUGAAGGUUGGAUAAAAGAAUGAAACAUGGACUGCUGGUAGAAAUUUGCUUGGUGGUAUUUUUCAGAUUUUGGGAGAUUGGGUGUAGGUUCUUGCUGUGUGUAACAUAGCUGAAACUGUUUUUUUUUCAUCUUCCCUGGAACGGAACGCCGGACUUUGCCAUCCUACACUCAGUGUGAGUGAAAUCAGCUCAUGCUUCUCGGUGUAGCAGCUCAGAGUGCACGGCCUGGCCGGCGUGGGGGUUUGGUGGCCACGUGGUGUUGGCCGGUGGUUGUGCAGAGAGUUGGUAGAAUUGCCGUUUGGUGGUGCCUGGUAUUGGUUGAACUGUGGUUCCCAUACAGGUGAACGGUUACUGGCGUAAGGUGUGCCAGGUGGG